Non-coding RNA from Nematostella vectensis (starlet sea anemone), 87 nucleotides. Lineage: Eukaryota; Metazoa; Cnidaria; Anthozoa; Actiniaria; Edwardsiidae. The record is from Rfam.
GCCUCGUUAGCGCAGUAGGCAGCGCGUCCGUCUCAUAAUCGAAUGUAGAAAUCUGAAGGUCGUGAGAUUCGAUCCUCACACGGGGCA